UAAGCAAUUAUACAGCGAAACUGCGAAUGGCUCAUUAUAUAAGUUAUCGUUUAUUUGAUAGUACUUUACUACUUGGAUAACCGUGGUAAUUCUAGAGCUAAUACAUGCUAAAAAUCCCGACUUCGGAAGGGAUGUAUUUAUUAGAUUAAAAACCAAUGCCCUUUGGGCUCCUUGGUGAAUCAUGAUAACUUCUCGAAUCGCAUGGCCUUGCGCCGGCGAUGGUUCAUUCAAAUUUCUUCCCUAUCAACUUUCGAUGUUUGGGUAUUGGCCAAACAUGGUCGCAACGGGUAACGGAGGGUUAGGGCUCGACCCCGGAGAAGGAGCCUGAGAAACGGCUACUACAUCCAAGGAAGGCAGCAGGCGCGCAAAUUACCCAAUCCCGACUCGGGGAGGUAGUGACAAUAAAUACUGAUACGAGGCUCUUUUGGGCCUUGUAAUUGGAAUGAGUACAAUUUAAAUCUCUUAACGAGGAACAAUUGGAGGGCAAGUCUGGUGCCAGCAGCCGCGGUAAUUCCAGCUCCAAUAGCGUAUAUUAAAGUUGUUGUGGUUAAAAAGCUCGUAGUUGAACCUUGGGCCUGGCUGGCCGGUCCGCCUCACCGCGUGUACUGGUCCGGCCGGGCCUUUCCCUCUGUGGAACCUCAUGCCCUUCACUGGGUGUGACGGGGAAGCAGGACUUUUACUGUGAAAAAAUUAGAGUGCUCCAAGCAGGCCUAUGCUCGAAUACAUUAGCAUGGAAUAAUGAAAUAGGACGUGCGGUUCUAUUUUGUUGGUUUCUAGGACCGCCGUAAUGAUUAAUAGGGACAGUCGGGGGCAUCAGUAUUCAAUUGUCAGAGGUGAAAUUCUUGGAUUUAUUGAAGACUAACUACUGCGAAAGCAUUUGCCAAGGAUGUUUUCAUUAAUCAGGAACGAAAGUUAGGGGAUCGAAGACGAUCAGAUACCGUCGUAGUCUUAACCAUAAACUAUGCCGACUAGGGAUCGGACGAUGUUAUUUUUUGACUCGUUCGGCACCUUACGAGAAAUCAAAGUGUUUGGGCUCCAGGGG
RNAcentral lists this ribosomal RNA (1042 nucleotides) under Leptobacillium sp. RNAcentral's name for it is "SSU rRNA". It matches the Rfam family "Eukaryotic small subunit ribosomal RNA", at positions 66 to 1120 of the family's 1831-position model. Lineage: Eukaryota; Fungi; Ascomycota; Sordariomycetes; Hypocreales; Cordycipitaceae. The record is from RNAcentral.